GUCCAUCCCUUAACGUGAUGGACUAGCCUAGCGUCUGUACAUCGACUAUGAAAUGGGAAGAUUUUGCUAGUUAAUUCCUAAGGGAGUGAUUUGACUGUGGCCAUGCUGGGGCACCACCUUUAGUCAAACAAAUCAAGCCCAGGACUUAUUCUUUGUAAGCCUAGUAUCAGUAAAUCGGUAUGAUUUUACAUAAAAUGUGCCUUUUAAAAAUUAAAUAAAAUAUAUAAAAAAAUUGAAUGAAAUUAACAAUACAGGAACAAUACAAAUGAAGCGACGAUCAGGCCACGCUCCGACCACACAAGCCCCGAUCUAUCGCUGGUACCUUUUUUUUGUUCUUUUUACCCCGUCUAUUCACACGGUUUCUUUCACGCACAACACUCGUGCAACAUGCUUCCAUCUCUUUUGGAACGUACACUCCGACAGACAUCGCUUCUCCAGCCACACUUUCCUUUUCAAAUGAAAAG
Molecule: long non-coding RNA, 464 nt
Organism: Octopus bimaculoides (California two-spot octopus)
Lineage: Eukaryota; Metazoa; Mollusca; Cephalopoda; Octopoda; Octopodidae
Source: RefSeq, a predicted model, not a curated record